RNAcentral lists this ribosomal RNA (203 nucleotides) under uncultured bacterium. RNAcentral's name for it is "partial 16S ribosomal RNA". It matches the Rfam family "Bacterial small subunit ribosomal RNA", at positions 524 to 724 of the family's 1533-position model. The record is from RNAcentral.
GACAGAGGGUGCAAACGUUGCUCGGAAUUACUGGGCGUAAAGGGCGUGUAGGCGGGAAGGCAAGUCGGGCGUGAAAGCCCCAGGCUCAACCUGGGAACUGCACUCGAAACUGCCUUUCUUGAGUGCCGGAGAGGAAAGCCGGAAUUCCUGGUGUAGAGGUGAAAUUCGUAGAUAAUCAGGAGGAACACCAGUGGCGAAGGCGG